GGAAUAUUGCACAAUGGGCGCAAGCCUGAUGCAGCCAUGCCGCGUGUAUGAAGAAGGCCCUCGGGUUGUAAAGUACUUUCAGUCGGGAGGAAGGCGUUGAUGUUAAUACCAUCAACGAGUGACGUUACCGACAGAUGAAGCACCGGCUAACUCCGUGCCAGCAGCCGCGGUAAUACGGAGGGUGCAAGCGUUAAUCGGAAUUACUGGGCGUAAAGCGCACGCAGGCGGUUAAUUAAGAUAGAUGUGACAUCCCCGGGCUUAACCUGGGAAUGGCAUCUAAGACUGGUUAGCUAGAGUCUUGUAGAGGGGGGUAGAAUGCCAUGUGUAGCGGUGAAAUGCGUAGAGAUGUGGAGGAAUACCGGUGGCGAAGGCGGCCCCCUGGACAAAGACUGACGCUCAGGUGCGAAAGCGUGGGGAGC
Molecule: ribosomal RNA, 419 nt
Filed under: uncultured bacterium
Lineage: Bacteria
Description: bacterial SSU rRNA
Rfam family: Bacterial small subunit ribosomal RNA
Source: RNAcentral